AGUGAACGCUGGCGGUAGGCCUAACACAUGCAAGUCGAACGGCAGCACAGUAAGAGCUUGCUCUUACGAGUGGCGAGUGGCGGACGGGUGAGGAAUACAUCGGAAUCUACUUUUUCGUGGGGGAUAACGUAGGGAAACUUACGCUAAUACCGCAUACGACCUACGGGUGAAAGCAGGGGAUCUUCGGACCUUGCGCGAUUGAAUGAGCCGAUGUCGGAUUAGCUAGUUGGCGGGGUAAGGCCCACCAAGGCGACGAUCCGUAGCUGGUCUGAGAGGAUGAUCAGCCACACUGGAACUGAGACACGGUCCAGACUCCUACGGGAGGCAGCAGUGGGGAAUAUUGGACAAUGGGCGCAAGCCUGAUCCAGCCAUACCGCGUGGGUGAAGAAGGCCUUCGGGUUGUAAAGCCCUUUUGUUGGGAAAGAAAAGCAGCAGGUUAAUACCCCGCUGUUCUGACGGUACCCAAAGAAUAAGCACCGGCUAACUUCGUG
RNAcentral lists this ribosomal RNA (491 nucleotides) under uncultured bacterium. RNAcentral's name for it is "partial 16S ribosomal RNA". It matches the Rfam family "Bacterial small subunit ribosomal RNA", at positions 29 to 507 of the family's 1533-position model. The record is from RNAcentral.